ACUCGGACGUCCGAAGAUAAUAAGCCAAGUCUUCUAUGAUCACUGACCUCGAUCGGACACACAAUACCUCUGUACUGGACGUCCGACAAACGUUGCGGUGCUUCAGACGCAAUACACUGAGAGCAUCGGACGUCCGAAAGAAAUGAAGAAGGAUUUGCAAAUAUACAUCUUACCUUCAGACGUGUAUUAUGGAAGGACAGAAUGUCCUAAGAAUCUCAAGAAAAUUUUUUGAACUCACUGUCUUCGUUCGGAAGCAGAAAAUCAGAGUAC
This 270-nucleotide long non-coding RNA is filed under the name Coffea arabica (coffee). RNAcentral describes it as "long non-coding RNA (CARA_LNC005018)". The record is from RNAcentral. Lineage: Eukaryota; Viridiplantae; Streptophyta; Magnoliopsida; Gentianales; Rubiaceae.